GUUAAAAAAUAUGCAAAAUUGUAUUCAAAACAUGAAAGAAAAAGAUGCUAAAAAUUUGAGAAUGAAUUUCAAAUUUUCAUAAAUAAUCUAUUAUAUUUUAUAUAUACAAAUUAUUAAAAUCAUUAUUUGAGUUAAUCAAAUUUCUCAGGCUUAACGAGUAUCAACGUCGACCAGUUCCCAAGAAGUCGAGGCAGAAAAGUGUACGACUGUUGUCUCAUUCAUCGGCGACGAGGAAGAAGACCCUUGUCCCAUUCAUCGUAGUCCCGUCACGCUUGACGGGGACCUAGGUUAGCUGGAUUUUAAGCGCGGCAAGAGCGCAAGAAGGCACCAAUGGGGACCGUUCGAGUCCCGAUGGGAGAUGAAGAACACGUUUCUUCUUCCUCGUCAAAAGAGUAACAAGAAUGUCAUAAGCGGCCGGACGAAGAAGACACGGUGAAUUGGUUGUCUGUGUAACGAGACCCCGACCACAAUUACAGUACUAAUGGAACCCACUACUUUAUAUGACCUGGAGAAACGAUAUUAUGUUGUGAUCGAUUAUUCUUGAGGCAAUUCACAAAGUUAGGUUUUGUGAAAACAACCAAUAUGGUUAUUUGAAUUUUUAAAAUUAAAUUUCACGGACUUAUAGACUUUAUAAACUGAGGUGAUAAUUUUAAUUUUUUUAAUUA
Molecule: long non-coding RNA, 665 nt
Organism: Apis dorsata (giant honeybee)
Lineage: Eukaryota; Metazoa; Arthropoda; Insecta; Hymenoptera; Apidae
Exons: 3
Source: RefSeq, a predicted model, not a curated record